UAUAAAAAAUCUCCUCCAUGAUUUUUCCUGAAGCCAUCUUCACAUCCUUCUGAGCUAACUAAUUUAGCUAUCAUUACAAUCUCUACUAGUUUCUGUCCAAAAACCAAACUUGCCAGACAUGAGCAUAUCUUCUUCCACUCCUUAUCUCUCACCGAUACCCAGCAAAACCACAGCACUCAACUCUCAACAAAAACAGCAGUUAAGAAAACCUGAUCAUGCCAUUUCUCUUCUCCAAAACUGCAAAAACCCUAAAGAUCUAAUACAACUACACACCCUUCUCAUAAAAACCUCUCUUAUCAAAGAAAAGUAUGCAUUUGGCCGUCUUUUAUUGUCAUUUGCCUCAUUUGACAAUCUGGGCUCUCUUAAUUAUGCUCAAAAACUGUUUGAUACUGUUGAUAUCCCAAGAAACUCAUUUAUGUAUACUACCAUGAUAAAAGCCUAUGCAAAUUUUGGUAAUCCAAGGGAGGCAUUUGCUUUUUAUUCAAGAAUGUUGUGUGAUCAGCAUUAUGUGUAUCCUAAUGAUUUUACCUUUACUUAUGUGUUUUCUGCUUGUUCUAAGUUUAAUGGUGUUUUUGAAGGCAAGCAGGCUCAUGCCCAGAUGAUAAAAUUUCCUUUUGAGUUUGGUGUUCAUUCUUGGAAUUCUUUAUUGGAUUUUUAUGGGAAAGUAGGGGAGGUGGGGAUUGUGGUCCGUCGAGUAUUUGAUAAAAUUGAGGGUCCUGAUGUUGUUUCUUGGAAUUGCUUGAUUAACGGGUAUGUGAAGUCAGGAGAUUUGGAUGAGGCACGAAGGCUUUUUGAUGAAAUGCCUGAAAAAGAUGUUGUGUCUUGGACUAUAAUGCUUGUGGGUUACGCUGAUGCUGGUUUUUUGAGUGAGGCAUCUUGUUUGUUUGAUGAAAUGCCGAAAAGGAACUUGGUUUCUUGGAGUGCAUUGAUUAAGGGUUAUAUACAAAUUGGUUGUUAUAGUAAGGCUUUGGAGCUUUUCAAGGAGAUGCAAGUUGCUAAAGUUAAAAUGGAUGAGGUCAUAGUAACGACUUUGCUCUCUGCAUGUGCUAGGCUGGGGGCUUUGGAUCAGGGUCGUUGGCUCCACAUGUAUAUAGAUAAACACGGGAUCCAAGUUGAUGCCCAUUUAUCAACAGCUCUGAUUGAUAUGUACAGUAAAUGUGGGCGAAUUGACAUGGCCUGGAAAGUUUUUCAAGAAACAGGGGAUAAGAAGGUAUUUGUGUGGAGUUCUAUGAUUGGUGGGCUGGCAAUGCACUCGUUUGGGGAGAAAGCUAUUGAGCUCUUCACCAAGAUGAUAGAGUGUGGAAUUGAACCGAGUGAAAUUACAUACAUCAAUAUUUUAGCAGCGUGUACUCAUUCAGGUCUUGUUGAAGUUGGGCUGAAGAUAUUUAAUAGAAUGGUGGAAAAUCAGAAACCAAAACCAAGAAUGGAGCAUUAUGGAUGCGUUGUAGAUUUAUUAGGUCGUGCAGGUCUGUUGUAUGAUGCAUUUCGGGUUGUUGAAACAAUGCCUGUGAAAGCGGAUCCAGCUAUAUGGAGAGCCCUCCUCAGUGCUUGUAAACUACACAGAAAUGUCGAGCUGGGAGAGCAAGUUGGGAGGAUUUUAAUUAAGAUGGAGCCACAAAAUGACAUGAACUACGUGCUUUUCUCCAGUGUUUAUGCAGCAGUUAAUAGAUGGGAUAUUUCUGGGAAGUUGAGGAGAGAGAUGAAAGUACGAGGUAUGCAAAAAAAUCCUGGAUGCAGCUCCAUUGAACUCAAUGGUGCAGUCCAUGAGUUUGUUUCUAGAGACCAUUCUCAUCCCCAGAGUCAAGUAAUUUAUGAGUUGUUGCAUAUAUUGACCAAUCAUAUGGUGCAAGAAGAUCAUGAACCAAUGAUGACUAUCAUGGCUGAGAACCAGGGCAUUCGGUGAAAAGAUGGAAAUCUACGUCCCACUGUUAGUUGCAAGCAAUGGACAUAUAUAUGGUGCAAGAUGAGCAUGAGCUGAUGACGAUUGUUGCUGCUGAGAACCGAGAUACAGCUGGUCAAAACACCCAGAUAGUGCCCUAUAAAUUUGUUUGCGAUGCUCGUGUUUCAAGUUUUGGGGUGAAUAUGCCAUUAUUGGGGUUGGUGACCAAAUGAUUAUAUUCCUCGAAGACAUUUUUUCCACACGCCCAUUAAGAAUUUUAUGGAGUUUAUUGAUGAGUUUCAAGAAAGGCAUGGCUUGGUGACCAUCAUAUAAACUUGACAAGAGGAACUUGAUUACUAAUAAUUGUUCAGGAACUGCAUCAUUGCAAAUGGUGUUGAAAGGAGCUUUACAAGAUGCAAGUCAAAAUAUGUGCUUGUACUUUGCCCAUUUUAAGUAGCUGGUGGGGGUAAAUUUAACCGAGGCAAGACCUUUAUUGAGCACAUAAAUCGCAGAUACACGAGUGAAAAUUUCGUAUGGAAAAUGAAAAUUAACAUUUUCAAAUGCUUAAGUGAUGGAGGGAACUCAUAUGCUAGAUGGAUAAACAGAGGAUUCAGGGCACGAUGAAGGGCAAAAAAUAGUAUUUUUGCUUGCCAAUAGUCAAUUCUUCAAUUGUGUUCCCAUGUUGAAGGACUUGACAACCUUAGAUAUCAGAACAUUAGCUAAGUAGUUAGGUGGAACAGGGCCAUUGAUUCAAUGACAAUUGGUCUUGAAAAUUUUUACGUGCAACAGUAACUGAAUUUAUGACGUCAUCGGUAGGAUGAAAGACUGAAAGAACUUCAAAGCCUUGAAGCUCGCUAGGAAUUUGUAUAUUGGUUAGUGGCAACAUUUUCAGUCAGUAUAUCUUAUUAAUUUGGGGUAUUUAUAGCGUCUUCGCCAUUUAUUAAUCCUUAAUUUGGUCUCUAUAAAAGGUCCUAAGAGAAUUCGUUUGUAUUGAUAUAUGAUGAGUCCUAUA
Populus euphratica (Euphrates poplar) is the source of this 2891-nucleotide RNA transcript. It is a transcript of the gene named pentatricopeptide repeat-containing protein At4g18840-like, with no coding region annotated. Lineage: Eukaryota; Viridiplantae; Streptophyta; Magnoliopsida; Malpighiales; Salicaceae. The record is from RefSeq and is a predicted model, not a curated record. The transcript is spliced from 2 exons.